RNAcentral lists this ribosomal RNA (466 nucleotides) under uncultured bacterium. Its description in RNAcentral is "partial 16S ribosomal RNA". It matches the Rfam family "Bacterial small subunit ribosomal RNA", at positions 28 to 523 of the family's 1533-position model. The record is from RNAcentral.
GAUGAACGCUGGCGGCGUGCCUAACACAUGCAAGUCGAGCGAACCCUUCGGGGUGAGCGGCGGACGGGUGAGUAACGCGUGGGUAACCUGCCCUAUACACACGGAUAACGUACCGAAAGGUACGCUAAUACGGGAUAAAGUUGUUGGAUGGCAUCUUCUAACAAUCAAAGCUCCGGCGGUAUAGGAUGGACCCGCGUCUGAUUAGCUAGUUGGAGAGGUAAUGGCUCACCAAGGCGACGAUCAGUAGCCGACCUGAGAGGGUGAUCGGCCACACUGGAACUGAGACACGGUCCAGACUCCUACGGGAGGCAGCAGUGGGGAAUAUUGCACAAUGGGCGAAAGCCUGAUGCAGCAACGCCGCGUGAGCGAUGAAGGUCUUCGGAUCGUAAAGCUCUGUCCUCAAGGAAGAUAAUGACGGUACUUGAGGAGGAAGCCCCGGCUAACUACGUGCCAGCCGCCGCCGUAA